ACGGAGGGUGCAAGCGUUAAUCGGAAUUACUGGGCGUAAAGCGCACGCAGGCGGUUUGUUAAGUCAGAUGUGAAAUUCCCGGGCUCAACCUGGGAACUGCAUCUGAUACUGGCAAGCUUGAGUCUCGGAGAGGUGGGCGGAAUUCCAGGUGUAGCGGUGAAAUGCGUAGAGAUCUGGAGGAACACCAGUGGCGAAGGCGGCCCACUGGACAAUGACUGACGCUGAGGUGCGAAAGCGUGGGGAGCAAACAG
This 251-nucleotide ribosomal RNA is filed under the name uncultured prokaryote. RNAcentral describes it as "partial 16S rRNA". It matches the Rfam family "Bacterial small subunit ribosomal RNA", at positions 525 to 775 of the family's 1533-position model. The record is from RNAcentral.